UAGUGCCAUCUAGUGGUGGUAGUCAGAGUUAGUCAGGUUAUCGGUGAUGGUGUUAUACUGAAGGUCAGCACAGUGACCAACCUCAAGUGCAGUAAAGGUCAGUUGAAUUUCAGUGGUCGUACAGGAGAGAUAUGUUGCUCCUCAGGACUCCUACACCACCCCUUCCGCCGGCUUUACCGCUUCUUCAUCUUUUAAUACGCCUAAAUAACUUUCAGGUGUGGUAACUGAGAAGUGCUGUGCCAGGCUGUGUCUGCUGCAACAUUGAUCAACACAGCAACUGACCAGUCUGAGGGGUGGAGACAACCACACUAGUAAAUGGUUGAAGAUAUUCUCGGUGUCGUGGGCAGCUGCUGUGUGGUGAAGUCCGUGUCGUGGGCAGCUGCUGUGUGGUGAAGUCCGUGUCGUGGGCAGCUGCUGUGUGGUGAAGUCCGUGUCGUGGGCAGCUGCUGUGUGGUGAAGUCCGUGUCGUGGGCAGCUGCUGUGUGGUGAAGUCCGUGUCGUGGGCAGCUGCUGUGUGGUGAAGUCCGUGUCGUG
Long non-coding RNA from Cherax quadricarinatus, 534 nucleotides. RefSeq lists it as uncharacterized. Lineage: Eukaryota; Metazoa; Arthropoda; Malacostraca; Decapoda; Parastacidae. The record is from RefSeq and is a predicted model, not a curated record.